Molecule: ribosomal RNA, 468 nt
Filed under: uncultured bacterium
Lineage: Bacteria
Description: partial 16S ribosomal RNA
Rfam family: Bacterial small subunit ribosomal RNA
Source: RNAcentral
GACGAACGCUGGCGGCGUGCUUAACACAUGCAAGUCGAACGGAAAGGCCCUGCUUUUGUGGGGUGCUCGAGGGGCGAACGGGUGAGUAACACGUGAGUAACCUGCCCCUGACUUUGGGAUAACUUCAGGAAACGGGGGUUAAUACCGGAUAGGAGCUCCUCCUGCAGGGGGGGGGUUGGAAAGUUUCGGCGGUUGGGGAUGGACUCGCGGCUUAUCGGCUUGUUGGGGGGGGAGUGGCUUACCAAGGCUUUGACGGGUAGCCGGCCUGGGAGGGGGACCGGCCACAUUGGGACUGGGAUACGGCCCAGACUCCUAAGGGAGGCAGCGGUGGGGAAUAUUGCCCAAUGGGCGGAAGCCUGUUGCAGAACCGCCGCGUGCGGAAUGACGGCCUUCGGGUUGUAAACCGCUUUCGCCUGUGACGAAGCGUGAGUGACGGUAAUGGGUGAAGAAGCACCGGCUAACUACGUG